UACGUAGGGUGCAAGCGUUGUCCGGAAUUAUUGGGCGUAAAGAGCUCGUAGGCGGUCUGUCACGUCGGAUGUGAAAACUCGGGGCUCAACCCCGAGCCUGCAUACGAUACGGGCAGACUUGAGUUCGGCAGGGGAGACUGGAAUUCCUGGUGUAGCGGUGAAAUGCGCAGAUAUCUGGAGGAACACCGGUGGCGAAGGCGGCAUCCUGGACCAAUACUGACGCUGAGGAGCGAAAGCCAGGGGAGCGAACAGG
Molecule: ribosomal RNA, 253 nt
Filed under: uncultured bacterium
Lineage: Bacteria
Description: partial 16S ribosomal RNA
Rfam family: Bacterial small subunit ribosomal RNA
Source: RNAcentral